Molecule: ribosomal RNA, 515 nt
Filed under: uncultured bacterium
Lineage: Bacteria
Description: partial 16S ribosomal RNA
Rfam family: Bacterial small subunit ribosomal RNA
Source: RNAcentral
GAUGAACGCUGGCGGCGUGCCUAAUAAAUGCAAGUCGAGCGAAUGGAUUAAGAGCUUGCUCUUAUGAAGUUAGCGGCGGACGGGUGGGUAACACGUGGGUAACCUGCCCAUAAGACUGGGAUAACUCCGGGAAACCGGGGCUAAUACCGGAUAACAUUUUGAACCGCAUGGUUCGAAAUUGAAAGGCGGCUUCGGCUGUCACUUAUGGAUGGACCCGGGUCGCAUUAGCUAGUUGGUGAGGUAACGGCUCACCAAGGCAACGAUGCGUAGCCGACCUGAGAGGGUGAUCGGCCACACUGGGACUGACACACGGCCCAGACUCCUACGGGAGGCAGCAGUAGGGAAUCUUCCGCAAUGGACGAAAGUCUGACGGAGCAACGCCGCGUGAGUGAGGAAGGCUUUCGGGUCGUAAAACUCUGUUGUUAGGGAAGAACAAGUGCUAGUUGAAUAAGCUGGCACCUUGACGGUACCUAACCAGAAAGCCACGGCUAACUACGUGCCAGCCGCCGCGGUAA